RNAcentral lists this ribosomal RNA (299 nucleotides) under uncultured bacterium. RNAcentral describes it as "partial 16S ribosomal RNA". It matches the Rfam family "Bacterial small subunit ribosomal RNA", at positions 775 to 1067 of the family's 1533-position model. The record is from RNAcentral.
GGAUUAGAUACCCUGGUAGUCCACGCCGUAAACGUUGGGCACUAGGUGUGGGGGGCCUUUUCCGGGUUUUCCGCGCCGUAGCUAACGCAUUAAGUGCCCCGCCUGGGGAGUACGGCCGCAAGGCUAAAACUCAAAGGAAUUGACGGGGGCCCGCACAAGCGGCGGAGCAUGCGGAUUAAUUCGAUGCAACGCGAAGAACCUUACCAAGGCUUGACAUGUGCCGGUCGGCUCCGGAGACGGGGUUUCCUCCUUGUGGGGCCGGUUCACAGGUGGUGCAUGGUUGUCGUCAGCUCGUGCCG